AUGCUAUCACCUCUCAAAAGACUAAGUGUUUGGAAGGCGCUAAGCAAAGUGAUAGAUACUUUUGAUAAACUUGUAUUCUGUGUUAAGGAGGAGGGAAUUGUGAAUUAUAUCUAUGACAGAGGCCAAUCUGACUGGACCAUCAAUGGUGGCAUGGAAAGGUGGCAGUUAGCUGUCAUCGGAAAGAGCACCAGUUGUUUUUACAGCAAAAGGAAACUGUGAAAGAAGUCUUUCUGCCUGUUGGAACUCUCAAGACAGCUGCAAUCCACAUCUUAAGGCAUUUUUGUUCCCAUCUGGUUGUAUCAUGUAGUUUUUGUGAUUACCUAAGAAAUUAAUUUCACACAGAUUCCAUAGACUGGUUUUGUAUACGUGGAGUAUCAUUUAAUGGGGAACGUUUUAUUAUUCAUAAAAUAUGUUGAAUAAAUGGACACAGAAAGUUACA
Molecule: long non-coding RNA, 439 nt
Filed under: Struthio camelus australis
Lineage: Eukaryota; Metazoa; Chordata; Aves; Struthioniformes; Struthionidae
Description: lncRNA (ENSSCUG00000017805.1)
Source: RNAcentral